Molecule: ribosomal RNA, 610 nt
Filed under: Stemonitopsis hyperopta
Lineage: Eukaryota; Evosea; Eumycetozoa; Stemonitida; Stemonitidae
Description: partial small subunit ribosomal RNA
Rfam family: Eukaryotic small subunit ribosomal RNA
Source: RNAcentral
UCUUCUCGAAUCUGCGAACGGCUCCGCAUACUGGUCAUAAUCAUUAGCAGCGUUUCUCGUGUCUGAUGGAAGCCAAUGUCGGUGUAAAAAACUGCAUGCUCUGGAGUCAUGAGGUAUAUGGAUAUCCAUGGCAAUUCUGUGGCUAAUACAUGAAACUUAUAAACUGGUCCACCUGCACAGGGGGGGGCCUUUUCCCCACCUCCUUUUCUCUUUCGGAUUAGGGGGUGGGGAGAGGUCCAUCAAAAUCGAACCUGCUUGGUGGGCCGGGGAGUGUGAGGUUCAAAACUGGCUUGGUUACAUCGGGACAGAACGCACAUCCUUUACCCUGCUCCGUGUCCUCUCCGUAAGGGGGGGAUCCGGGCGCACUGGGGAGGUACCUUCAUCUGCACAAUCUUGCGAACCCAUGGGUUUCUCUUUCCCCAUCUUCCUUCCCAGGAAGGAGGGGAUUGAGGUUCCUGAGGGAUCCUUGGGAGUCGGGUGGAGGUGCCCCCUCGGUGGGUCACUGUUCGAGUUUCCAACCUAUCAACUAGAAUGUGGCGUAAUGGAUUGCUACGGUUACGACGGGUACAGAGGAUUAGGGUUCGAUCCUGGAGAGUGGGCCUGAGAGAUU